RNAcentral lists this ribosomal RNA (254 nucleotides) under uncultured bacterium. RNAcentral describes it as "partial 16S ribosomal RNA". It matches the Rfam family "Bacterial small subunit ribosomal RNA", at positions 524 to 777 of the family's 1533-position model. The record is from RNAcentral.
UACAGAGGGUGCAAGCGUUGUUCGGAAUUAUUGGGCGUAAAGCGCGUGUAGGCGGCUAAGUAAGUCGGGCGUGAAAUCCCACGGCUCAACCGUGGAAGUGCACUCGAAACUGCAUAGCUAGAGUCCUGGAGAGGAAGGUGGAAUGCUUGGUGUAGAGGUGAAAUUCGUAGAUAUCAAGCGGAACACCGGUGGCGAAGGCGGCCUUCUGGACAGUGACUGACGCUGAGACGCGAAAGCGUGGGGAGCAAACAGGG